UACACGUGUGCGGUGGAGAGGAGAAUUAGGGUUACAAGAUGAAAAGAGGAAUACGAAAGAUAGAGGGGAAGAAUCACUUUACCUUUUCUUUCUUUACUUCUUCUUUGUUCUCUCUGUGUUGCAAAAUAACCCUAAUGUGGUUUUUCCUUUCCUUUAUGGUUUGAUUUCAGUAUAUAGAACUCAUUGUAAUGAGAAGAUUAAGGAGGAGAAGAAGGAUGCUGCAAGUAUUUAUGUGGUUCGGCCAAGAUUACGGCCUACGUCCAGGAGAAGGAUCUUUCUUUAUAUUGAUGAAGAUAAGCAUACAUAUUUCACUCUCUUUUUAUUUUUUUUCUUUUGCUUUCUAUUUCACUUACUUGAUAGAAUGUAACAAUACAUAUUUAUAGGUGGUUACACAACAGAAGUAGUUAGAAAGGAGAAAAAUAGAAAAAGAAAAAAAAAAGGCUUGUGAAUUUUUGUUAGGAUUCAUUUUGUUUUACAAUCUCCACCUUGAAUCCAACUAGAAAAUUAUUUUAAAUCCUUUCAUUUAAUUCCUUUCCAACUGAUCUAUCCUUUUUAAGGUAGGUCGAAACCUAUAAGCUCAAAGUAUUUCUGCAACUUCAGGGAUGAGACCGGCUUAGUAAGUAUAUCAGCGGCAUUCUCAGAGGUAUGAACUUUCAGCAUUUGAAUUUCCCCAGCUUCAAUUUUUUCCCGUAUGAAGUGAUAUUUUAUGUCAAUUUGCUUUGUUCGCUGUGGUAUUGAGGAUUCUUGGAUAGGUGAAUGACACUUUGGUUGUCACAGAAGAUUUUAACAAUCGACUGUUUGAUUCCAAAGUCUUUCAUCAGUCCUUUAAGCCACAAUCCUUCUUUUACUGCCUCUGUUAACACUAAGUAUUCUGCUUCUGUAGUUGAGAGAGCAACAAUAGAUUGUAGGGUUGCUUUCCAGCUAAUUAGAUUAGGUCCAUAGAGAAAUGCAUAUCCGGUUAGGCUUCUUCUUUUGUCACCGUCACCUGCAAAAUCUGAAUCCACAUAGCCUAUCAAUUCUAAUUCUGUCUCAGAGGUCCUUUGGUAAUUUAGUUUAGCAUAUUUAGACCAGAUUAGGUAUCUCAUUAUCCACUUAGUGGCUUCCCAAUGUCUUCUUCCAGGAUUGGCCAUAUACCUACUGACAAGGCUAGUUGAAUAGGAUAGGUCAGGUCUGGUUGAAAUCAUAAGGUACAUUAAACUUCCCACUGCUUGACUGUAUGGAACAUUUUUCAUUUGUAGUUGGUGAUCUGUAUCUGUGUCGCUAGGGGAAUUUGUAGCUGAUAACUUAAAGUGAUGUGCUAUAGGGAGUGUCACGGGUCUAGCAUUAGUGAGAUUGAAUCUUCUAAUCAUUUUCUCACAGUAGGUUGAUUGGUUUAUGCUUAGUGUAGACUUGUCUCUGACUCUUGUGAUGUCAAUUCCAAGAAUCUUCCUCGAUUCCCCUAGGUAUUUCAUGUCAAAUUCUUUUCCCAAAAGAUUUUUGACAUGAAUCAACUCUUCUUUAGAACUUCCUGCAAGAAGCAUAUCAUCCACAUAGAGUAACAAGUAGACAUUGUCUUUAUAGGUUGUUGAGUUUAUGUAAACGCACAUAUCAUAAGAGCUUCUUUGAAAACCUAAACUAGCAAUAAAAUCAUCAAAUAUUUUAUACCAACAUCUAGGAGAUUGUUUCAACCCAUAUAUAGACUUCUUUAGUAAGCAGUAGAGGUCUUCCUUACCUUGAACCUCAUAACCCUUAGGUUGAACCAUAUAGAUUGUCUCUUCUAGAUAGCCAUGGAGAAAAGCUUUUUUUACAUCAAGUUGAUCCAAUUCUAGGUUGUUUUGAGCAACUAGAGAUAAGAGAAGUCUAAUAGAGGUUUGUUUAACUACAGGGGAGAAAAUUUCAGAAUAGUCUAUACCUUCUCUUUGUGUGAAACCCUUUGCUACCAGCCUUGCCUUGUACCUUAGUUGUGAGUUUUUAGUAAUUCCUUCUUUGAGUUUGAAAAUCCACUUAGAUGCUAUUGGUUUGCAUCCUUUAGGUAGAGAAGCUAGUGUCCAAGUAUCAUUCACAUUUAGUGAAUUUAUUUCUUCAUUCAUAGCUUCAAUCCACUGUCUUGCAUUGCUACUGUUCACAACUUCCUCAAAGGAACUUGGUUCUGAAUCAUUAGGAACUACAGUAGCAUUUAAAACAAAACUUAUGUAAUUAGAUUAAAUAUACCUGGCUAGAGGGACAAUUACCCUUCUUUGUCUGUCUCUUGCUAGGGAAUAUUGGCUCAAGUUAGGUUGUUCUUCAAGCAUUUCAACUUGUUCUUCACUUAAGAUCUCCACUUGUUCUUGUUCAGUAGCUGUAGGAUCCUCACAAGGUUGAACACUUUUUCUUGUAUUCUCCACCUCAAUUUGAGUAGUAUAGGAUUGUGUGUCAUCAAAGUUCCCUUCAGUGCUGCUUUUACCUUGCAUAAACAUUUAUGAUUCUCUAAAAAGAACAUCCCUACUGAUUAUAAACCUCUUGUUAGUUGGAUGCCACAACUUGAAACCCUUUAUUCCUUCUGUGAAACCAACAAACAUACACUUAGCAGCCCUGACCUUUAGUUUUCCUUUAUUUUGGUGAGCAUACCCUACACAUCCAAACACCUUAAGGUCAUUUAGACUUGGUGGGUGUUUGGACCAUUUCUCCUCAGGUGUUAGGAAUCCCAAGGAGGUGUGAGGACUUCUAUUCAAUGUGUACACAACGUAGGCAGCAGCCUCAGCCCAAAACGUUUCUUCUAGAAUGGCAUAUGAUAAUAGGCAUCUUACCAUUUCCAUUAUAGUUCUGUUGAGUCUUUCUGCCACUCCAUUUUGUUGAGGUGUGUAUGUCACAGUUUUGUGCCUUGUGAUUCCACUUUCCCUGCAAAAACUAUUAAACACUUCUCCACAAAACUCUAAACCAUUGUUAGUUCUAAGAUAUUUAACCUUUUUAUCAGUUUGUUUUUCUAUCAUUAGUUUCCAUUCUUUAAAAUUUUCAAAAACUUGAUUUUUAGUUUUUAAGAAAUAAAUCCAACUUAUUCUAGAAAAAUCAUCAGUAAAUGAUAGAAAAUACCUUGAGCUACUUAGGCUUGGAGUGGAUGCUGAACUCAUAGAUCCGAAUGGAUGUAGUCUAGGAUUCCUUUUGUUGUGUGUUGUGCUUUGGUGAAGUUUUGUUUUCUUGCUUUGCCUAGUACACAGUGUUCACAAAAGGACAGUUUGCUGCAUAUGUCUUGAGGCAGAAUGUCCUGUUUAGAUAGUGCCUCAAGACCCUUCUGACUAAUAUGGGACAAUCUUUUAUGCCAAAUAUCAGCUUCUGUUAGGUUUAGAGAUAAAACUGUAUUUGCCUCCUCUAUCAUUUCUACUCAUUUUACUAUGAACAAAUCAUUUACCUUUUCCCCAACCAAGACUAACUUAGAUCCCAUAAAGACUUGGAAAACUCCACAUUUUCCUUUAUAUUCACACCCUAGAGAGUCUAACAUUCCUAGGGAGAUUAAAUUUCUUUUAAGGUGAGGAACAUGUCUUACAUUUCUAAGGAGUUUUACAGUCCCAUCUUUUAGUUUCAUGGUAACUGAUCCAAUUCCAGCAAUGUUACUUUCAUUAUUAUUCCCCACGAACACAGAUUCUCCACUAAUCUCUCUAUAGGUAUUGAACCAUGCUCUAAAAGGUGUCAUAUGGUAAGUGCAUCAUGAGUCUAGGACCCAAUCAUGUUUUCCUAAGGGGUUGACAUGGUUGGCUUGGUCUAAGGUUGAUGCCAAGGCAUCUGUGUAGGUAAAAGAGCUUUCUACUAUAGAGGCUUCUGGUUGUUUCCCUUUAGAAUCUUUUUCUUUUUCUUGAUUCUUUCUUUUAAGGAAAAAAACAUUCUUGUAUGAAGUGUCCCUUCUUUUUACAGUAUUUACAUUUCUUUUUCUGUUUUCCUUUCUUGUCUUCAUUAGAAAAAGAUUUGUUACUGUUUUACUUUGAUUGUUUUGGGAUUUACCUUUGACAAACAAUCCAUCGCCACUAUGAUUUUCUUUGUGUGAUGAAUGUAUUUCUAAUUCUCUAGUUCUUAGAGCUGAUAUUAUGACAUCUGUUUUUACUGAGUCUCUUCCAUAUUUUAGAACAUUUUUUACUUCUUUGUAUGCCUUGGGUAAAGAAUUUAAAAGGACGAAUGCCUCAUUUUCAUCACCUAGUUUGUCCUCAAGGGUUUUAAAAUCUGAAACUAUUUUCUGAAUUCAUCUAAGUUUUCAGAUAAGGUUUUAGAAGGAUCCAUUUUAUAUGUGAAAUUUUUUUCCCUUAGGUACAUUUUGUUUGGGAGAUCUUUAGAGGCAUAUAGGUUUUCUAGUUUCAUCCAAACUUUAUGUGUUGUUUCUUCUUCUAGAACUUGCCUAAUUAUGUUGUCACUAAGGUUUAGUAUUAGUGUUCCAUAGGCAUUUAAUUCCAUUUCUUCUAUUUGUACUGUUGUGAGGGUUGUUGGAAGUUAUGAAGGAUCUAAAAGGGCUUUAUGAGCCUUUUGUUGUCCAAGCAAGGCUUUGAUCUUUGCUUUCCAUAAAGCAAAGUCUCCCUUUUGCAUCAAACUUCUCUAUUUCUACUCUUGUUAUAGCCAUUUUUCUAGGUCCGUCUUUCUCUAUUUUCUCCAAGAAUCAGUUUCUUGAUUUCAAGAACCUUGCUCUGAUACUAAUUGUUGGGCCUAAGUUUGUUUUGGGCCUCUGUUUAGUGCAGGGAUAAAGAUUACAAGGAGGAGAGAAAGCCACGGUUGAAGACUUGCAGACGUACACGUGUGCGGUGGAGAGGAGAAUUAGGGUUACAAGAUGAAAAGAGGAAUACGAAAGACAGAGGAGAAGAAUCACUUUACCUUUUCUUUCUUUACUUCUUCUUUGUUCUCUCUGUGUUGCAAAAUAACCCUAAUGUGGUUUUUCCUUUCCUUUAUAGUUUGAUUUCAGUAUAUAGAACUCAUUGUAAUGAGAAGAUUAAGGAGAAGAAGAAGGAUGUUGCAAGUAUUUA
Molecule: long non-coding RNA, 4955 nt
Filed under: Cucumis sativus (cucumber)
Lineage: Eukaryota; Viridiplantae; Streptophyta; Magnoliopsida; Cucurbitales; Cucurbitaceae
Description: long non-coding RNA (CSAT_LNC001985)
Source: RNAcentral